GCGCCAGUAGCCCAGCGGAUUAGAGCAGCUGACUACGGAUCAGCAGGUCGCAGGUUCGAA
RNAcentral lists this transfer RNA (60 nucleotides) under Bifidobacterium breve. RNAcentral describes it as "tRNA-Arg". It matches the Rfam family "tRNA", at positions 1 to 57 of the family's 71-position model. Rfam says of the family: Transfer RNA (tRNA) molecules are approximately 80 nucleotides in length. Their secondary structure includes four short double-helical elements and three loops (D, anti-codon, and T loops). Lineage: Bacteria; Bacillati; Actinomycetota; Actinomycetes; Bifidobacteriales; Bifidobacteriaceae. The record is from RNAcentral.